Aedes aegypti (yellow fever mosquito) is the source of this 252-nucleotide long non-coding RNA. RefSeq lists it as uncharacterized. Lineage: Eukaryota; Metazoa; Arthropoda; Insecta; Diptera; Culicidae. The record is from RefSeq and is a predicted model, not a curated record. The transcript has 3 exons.
AAAAGGGAAAAAUUGCGCCAUUUGCCAAACAAGAAAUACGUAAAUUGAAAGUGGUUCCGAAUAGUCAUGUACCAACGACGAUUUAAACAUAGGACAGUUAAAGUUAGACCAAACACUAGACAAAAAACGACAAAUUAAUCUCCCCUGAGGAAGACACAAUCCCCGUGUCGAAACGUUGGGUUGAAACAAAACUCGUUUUAAUCAUUCCAAGACUGCUUAGCCGUAAAUUCCACAGUUAAAAUAAACAGUCGA